ACCCUUUCCAAGGCCCCGCCCAGUGCCUAUAUUAAAGGGGUCGGGAAACCGGCUAUGGCGAUAAACGUCGUGUGGAAUAAGCGUAACGGACCCGGGGGCAGUACCCGGCGCCUCCACCAAUUCUCUCGGCACCGGGCGCCAUGCGGUGUUGGGGCUUUAAGGGGGCGAAACAGGAUCGACGUGCGUGGUAAAGGCGCGAUUUUCGCCCGGCAUGGUACCGCCGUUAUCGGGCCAACAUUACAAAUGCCAAUGACAACGAGGCAUUUGCCCAGGCCGCUUAAGGUCUGAGCGGGGUUCGGGGGGCACCUGGCAACAGAAGCCCCCCACU
This 328-nucleotide transfer-messenger RNA is filed under the name Rhodospirillales bacterium. It matches the Rfam family "Alphaproteobacteria transfer-messenger RNA". Rfam says of the family: Bacterial tmRNA, also known as 10Sa RNA or SsrA, is named for its dual tRNA and mRNA-like properties. Its role is to liberate the mRNA from a stalled ribosome. The record is from RNAcentral. Lineage: Bacteria; Pseudomonadati; Pseudomonadota; Alphaproteobacteria; Rhodospirillales.